This 800-nucleotide ribosomal RNA is filed under the name uncultured bacterium. RNAcentral's name for it is "bacterial SSU rRNA". It matches the Rfam family "Bacterial small subunit ribosomal RNA", at positions 8 to 843 of the family's 1533-position model. The record is from RNAcentral.
AGAGUUUGAUCCUGGCUCAGAACGAACGCUGGCGGCAGGCCUAACACAUGCAAGUCGAACGAGAAGCCACCUUCGGGUGGUGGACAGUGGCAGACGGGUGAGUAACGCGUGGGAACGUGCCUUUCGGUUCGGGAUAACCCGGGGAAACUUGGGCUAAUACCGGAUACGCCCUUCGGGGGAAAGAUUCAUCGCCGAAAGAUCGGCCCGCGUCGGAUUAGCUAGUUGGUAGGGUAAUGGCCUACCAAGGCGACGAUCCGUAGCUGGUCUGAGAGGAUGACCAGCCACACUGGGACUGAGACACGGCCCAGACUCCUACGGGAGGCAGCAGUGGGGAAUAUUGGACAAUGGGCGAAAGCCUGAUCCAGCCAUGCCGCGUGGGUGAAGAAGGCCUUAGGGUUGUAAACCCCUUUCAGCGGGGAAGAUAAUGACGGUACCCGCAGAAGAAGUCCCGGCUAACUCCGUGCCAGCAGCCGCGGUAAUACGGAGGGGACUAGCGUUGUUCGGAAUUACUGGGCGUAAAGCGCACGUAGGCGGAUUUGUAAGUCAGGGGUGAAAUCCCGAGGCUCAACCUCGGAACUGCCUUUGAUACUGCGAAUCUUGAGUCCGGAAGAGGUGAGUGGAAUUCCUAGUGUAGAGGUGAAAUUCGUAGAUAUCAGGAGGAACACCGGUGGCGAAGGCGACUUCCUGGCCCUAUACUGACGCUGAGACGCGAGAGCGUGGGUAGCAAACAGGAUUAGAUACCCUGGUAGUCCACGCCGUAAACGAUGUUCACUAGGUGUUGGGGGUAUUGACCCUCUCAG